ACGAACGCUGGCGGCGUGCCUAAUACAUGCAAGUCGAGCGAGCGGAACCAACAGAUUUACUUCGGUAAUGACGUUGGGAAAGCGAGCGGCGGAUGGGUGAGUAACACGUGGGGAACCUGCCCCUAAGUCUGGGAUACCAUUUGGAAACAGGUGCUAAUACCGGAUAAUAAAGCAGAUCGCAUGAUCAGCUUUUGAAAGGCGGCGUAAGCUGUCGCUAAGGGAUGGCCCCGCGGUGCAUUAGCUAGUUGGUAAGGUAACGGCUUACCAAGGCGACGAUGCAUAGCCGAGUUGAGAGACUGAUCGGCCACAUUGGGACUGAGACACGGCCCAA
This 331-nucleotide ribosomal RNA is filed under the name uncultured bacterium. Its description in RNAcentral is "bacterial SSU rRNA". It matches the Rfam family "Bacterial small subunit ribosomal RNA", at positions 29 to 334 of the family's 1533-position model. The record is from RNAcentral.